CGAUCGAUCGCGAGAAAGAAGCGGAAAAGGAAAAAAAAAAACUUAUCUCCCGUCGCCGCCUCCUCGCGAGCGCCCGCCGGACCGCCGGGUGCCGCCGCCAGCUCCGAGCGCUCACCCGCCGGAGCCGCGCCCCCUACCCCGCCACCUCCUCACGCGCGCCCGACGCUCGCCCUACCCCGCUGCUGCCGCCUCCUCGCAGCCGCCGGUGAGCCGGGUUUGCCGUCUGCUGGGGCCUUCUCCAACGCCGCCGCCGCCUCCUCGCGCGCAGCCUCUGGAGAUCUGGGGUCGCCGUCGGCCAGCUCCUCCUCGCGUGCGCCCGCCCGGGAUCUGUGGUGGCGAUAUGCCCCUGCCCGGCCUUGUCAGCUGAUAUGGCAUACAUUCCUCCAGGCUGCACUCACUUACACUUUUACUCUUAAUCCUGACAGCCGCAAUGUGUCUUGUGCAAAAGGAAGCAAGGCUGCAACUGAAACACGGUGA
RNAcentral lists this long non-coding RNA (477 nucleotides) under Oryza sativa Indica Group (long-grained rice). Its description in RNAcentral is "lncRNA OsMH63_12G010290". Lineage: Eukaryota; Viridiplantae; Streptophyta; Magnoliopsida; Poales; Poaceae. The record is from RNAcentral.